UACGGAGGAUGCGAGCGUUAUCCGGAUUUAUUGGGUUUAAAGGGUGCGUGGGCGGGCUUUUAAGUCAGCGGUAAAAAUUCGGGGCUCAACCCCGUCCGGCCGUUGAAACUGGGGGUCUUGAGUGGGCGAGAAGAAGGCGGAAUGCGUGGUGUAGCGGUGAAAUGCAUAGAUAUCACGCAGAACCCCGAUUGCGAAGGCAGCCUUCCGGCGCCCUACUGACGCUGAGGCACGAAAGUGCGGGGAUCGAACAGG
RNAcentral lists this ribosomal RNA (252 nucleotides) under uncultured bacterium. Its description in RNAcentral is "partial 16S ribosomal RNA". It matches the Rfam family "Bacterial small subunit ribosomal RNA", at positions 524 to 776 of the family's 1533-position model. The record is from RNAcentral.